UCUGGAGAUUGAGUGUCUGGAUGACUCCUACAGCUGUGUUGUGGCUUACUCAUUCACAAACCAGACUACACACCUCAACAUUACUCAGCUAUGCGGGACAUGUUCAGCAACCAGACAACUCUUUAUUCAGAAAGCUCUAAUAAUUACUGGUGUAGUCCUGUUGUUGUUGUUGUUGCUGGUGGUCACAGUUGGAGUUAUGAAGUUCUGGCACAGGAGGAACAACAAACCAGCAAUUGAAACUACAGAAGAAGAGGUCGUUUAUACUGAUGCAACAUUUACUACACACAGAGCUCCAGAUACUAAAACUAAGGGACUGGAUCAGACCGAGUAUUCAGAAGUGUUUCUGAGAUGAUGAGCAAGUCUGGUCAUGGAGAGAAUGCCCUGUUGUUUUCAGGAAGCAGCAGCAUGUUGGAAUGGAUGAGGGUAUA
Non-coding RNA from Danio rerio (zebrafish), 428 nucleotides. The record is from Ensembl. Lineage: Eukaryota; Metazoa; Chordata; Actinopteri; Cypriniformes; Danionidae.